CAGACGGUUUAUUAAGCAAGAUGNGAAAUCCCCGAGCUUAACUUGGGAACUGCGUUUUGAACUGNUAAGCUAGAGUAUGUCAGAGGGGGGUAGAAUUCCACGUGUAGCAGUGAAAUGCGUAGAGAUGUGGAGGAAUACCGAUGGCGAAGGCAGCCCCCUGGGAUAAUACUGACGUUCAUGCUCGAAAGCGUGGGUAGCAAACAGGAUUAGAUACCCUGGUAGUCCACGCCCUAAACGAUGUCAAUUAGCUGUUGGGGCACUUGAUGCCUUAGUAGCGAAGCUAACGCGUGAAAUUGACCGCCUGGGGAGUACGGUCGCAAGAUUAAAACUCAAAGGAAUUGACGGGGACCCGCACAAGCGGUGGUUGAUGUGGAUUAAUUCGAUGCAACGCGAAGAACCUUACCUGGUCUUGACAUGUACGGAAUCUUCCAGAGACGGAAGAGUGCCUUCGGGAGCCGUAACACAGGUGCUGCAUGGCUGUCGUCAGCUCGUGUCGUGAGAUGUUGGGUUAAGUCCCGCAACGAGCGCAACCCUUGUCAUUAGUUGCCACCAUUCAGUUGGGCACUCUAAUGAGACUGCCGGUGACAAACCGGAGGAAGGUGGGGAUGACGUCAAGUCCUCAUGGCCCUUAUGACCAGGGCUUCACACGUCAUACAAUGGUCGGUACAGAGGGUAGCCAAGCCGCAAGGUGGAGCCAAUCUCAGAAAACCGAUCGUAGUCCGGAUUGCACUCUGCAACUCGAGUGCAUGAA
Molecule: ribosomal RNA, 751 nt
Filed under: uncultured bacterium
Lineage: Bacteria
Description: bacterial SSU rRNA
Rfam family: Bacterial small subunit ribosomal RNA
Source: RNAcentral